RNAcentral lists this ribosomal RNA (1023 nucleotides) under Talaromyces flavus. Its description in RNAcentral is "SSU rRNA". It matches the Rfam family "Eukaryotic small subunit ribosomal RNA", at positions 69 to 1102 of the family's 1831-position model. The record is from RNAcentral. Lineage: Eukaryota; Fungi; Ascomycota; Eurotiomycetes; Eurotiales; Trichocomaceae.
ACUCUUUUACUGUGAACUGCGAAUGGCUCAUUAAAUCAGUUAUCGUUUAUUUGAUAGUACCCUACUACAUGGAUACCUGUGGUAAUUCUAGAGCUAAUACAUGCGCAAAACCCCGACUUCGGAAGGGGUGUAUUUAUUAGAUAAAAAACCAAUGCCCUUCGGGGCUCCUUGGUGAAUCAUAAUAACUUCACGAAUCGCAUGGCCUUGCGCCGGCGAUGGUUCAUUCAAAUUUCUGCCCUAUCAACUUUCGAUGGUAGGAUAGUGGCCUACCAUGGUGGCAACGGGUAACGGGGAAUUAGGGUUCGAUUCCGGAGAGGGAGCCUGAGAAACGGCUACCACAUCCAAGGAAGGCAGCAGGCGCGCAAAUUACCCAAUCCCGAUACGGGGAGGUAGUGACAAUAAAUACUGAUACAGGGCUCUUUUGGGUCUUGUAAUUGGAAUGAGAACAAUCUAAAUCCCUUAACGAGGAACAAUUGGAGGGCAAGUCUGGUGCCAGCAGCCGCGGUAAUUCCAGCUCCAAUAGCGUAUAUUAAAGUUGUUGCAGUUAAAAAGCUCGUAGUUGAACCUUGGGCCCGUCCUGCCGGUCCGCCUCACCGCGAGUACUGGUCCGGAUGGGCCUUUCUUUCUGGGGAAUCCCAUGGCCUUCACUGGCUGUGGCGGGGAACCAGGACUUUUACUGUGAAAAAAUUAGAGUGUUCAAAGCAGGCCUUUGCUCGGAUACAUUAGCAUGGAAUAAUAGAAUAGGACGUGCGGUUCUAUUUUGUUGGUUUCUAGGACCGCCGUAAUGAUUAAUAGGGAUAGUCGGGGGCGUCAGUAUUCAGCUGUCAGAGGUGAAAUUCUUGGAUUUGCUGAAGACUAACUACUGCGAAAGCAUUCGCCAAGGAUGUUUUCAUUAAUCAGGGAACGAAAGUUAGGGGAUCGAAGACGAUCAGAUACCGUCGUAGUCUUAACCAUAAACUAUGCCGACUAGGGAUCGGGCGGGGUUUCUAUGAUGACCCGCUCGGCACCUUACGAGAAAUCAAA